Molecule: ribosomal RNA, 424 nt
Filed under: uncultured Butyricicoccus sp.
Lineage: Bacteria; Bacillati; Bacillota; Clostridia; Eubacteriales; Butyricicoccaceae
Description: bacterial SSU rRNA
Rfam family: Bacterial small subunit ribosomal RNA
Source: RNAcentral
CCUACGGGAGGCAGCAGUGAGGAAUAUUGGUCAAUGGGCGGUAGCCUGAACCAGCCAAGUAGCGUGAAGGAUGAAGGUUCUAUGGAUUGUAAACUUCUUUUAUAAAGGAAUAAAGUGAGGCACGUGUGCCUUUUUGUAUGUACUUUAUGAAUAAGGAUCGGCUAACUCCGUGCCAGCAGCCGCGGUAAUACGGAGGAUCCGAGCGUUAUCCGGAUUUAUUGGGUUUAAAGGGAGCGUAGAUGGGUUGUUAAGUCAGUUGUGAAAGUUUGCGGCUCAACCGUAAAAUUGCAAUUGAUACUGGCGUCCUUGAGUACAGUUGAGGUGGGCGGAAUUCGUGGUGUAGCGGUGAAAUGCUUAGAUAUCACGAAGAACUCCUAUUGCGAAGGCAGCUCACUAAACUGCAACUGACAUUGAGGCUCGAAAG